UUUAUUYCUAAGGAUUAUAUAUAAAAUUAAAAAAUUUGGCGGCUAUUAAAUAUUAAAGGGGUUUGCUUUUAAUCGAUUUGCCACGUUUUUUUUUAUUUGUUAUUAUUUUGUAUACCAUCAUUUAGAUAAUUUUAACAGAGUUAAAUAUGGAUUUAAUUUUAGUAAUUUUAGAUCAAGGUGCAGAAAUUAAUAAGAUCUAGUUAAUGACAAUAAUUAGUAUUAGACAGGAUAGGCGUAAAUAAAUUGAAUAGGUGGAUUUAAAUGUAAUAGUAUAAAAUAUUUGAAAUUACUAUAUAGUGUACAAAUUGCCCGUCAUUCUC
Molecule: ribosomal RNA, 320 nt
Filed under: Niphargus laisi
Lineage: Eukaryota; Metazoa; Arthropoda; Malacostraca; Amphipoda; Niphargidae
Description: partial 12S ribosomal RNA
Source: RNAcentral